UCUCCUCAGCUGCACUAUAACAAUAAACAUGCUCUUAUAAGAUCAAAUGAUACGCCUUGGUAUAUUUUUUACAUUUUAUAUAGGUUGCUCUAACUCAUCAGGGAUGUACAUGUUUAAGGGAAUUCAAUUUCGGAUAUUUUAAGGCAAAAAGUAUUUUUAGACGAAUUUCCAACAAAACUAAGUUGUGACCUACGAUGAACUAUGCACUACUUUGAGAAACAUACAAAUAGGAAGAUCAAAAAACGAAUGUAUUCAUUCUUCAAAAGAGUAUGGAAGGCCAUGAAGCGUCCCUUUCUCUGCAGAUGGAACAAAGUGGAGUCUAUUGUGUCUGAGCCGGCCGAUCCUGAGGCAUCAGCUCUCAUCCCUCAUCUUUCAUCAGGUUUGAGUCUGCCUCUCUCACCUCUAUACCUGACAAUCUGUCCAAAACAUCUUCAUCCCUCUCUGAGGACAAUAUAGAUGAGAGAGAAGGUGGCUGCAGCAUGUGGGCCAAUAGGAGACCCAGCCUGCAUACUUUUAAUAUUACGAAACAGGAUAUGUGGGGCCAAGACGGCAUUUCCAACAUCCCAGAGUAUAUGUACACUUUGCCACUUUGCCCUAAGUGCUCAGGGUGCCACAGAUGCUUCUCCUAUGGAGAACAGCACAACAGUUUAGAGAAACAUAAAAAUAACGAGGAGAGAAAAGGCUUCUUCACCAGACUAUGGAUGGCUUACUUACUGCUGUGCUGCACACAGCUAC
Onychostoma macrolepis is the source of this 735-nucleotide long non-coding RNA. RefSeq lists it as uncharacterized. The transcript is spliced from 3 exons. The record is from RefSeq and is a predicted model, not a curated record. Lineage: Eukaryota; Metazoa; Chordata; Actinopteri; Cypriniformes; Cyprinidae.